RNAcentral lists this ribosomal RNA (815 nucleotides) under uncultured delta proteobacterium. RNAcentral's name for it is "bacterial SSU rRNA". It matches the Rfam family "Bacterial small subunit ribosomal RNA", at positions 70 to 859 of the family's 1533-position model. Lineage: Bacteria; Deltaproteobacteria. The record is from RNAcentral.
AAAAGGGGGGCAACCCCCUGAGUAAAGCGGCGCACGGGUGAGUAACACGUAGGUAAUCUACCCUCGAGUCCAGGAUAACCCGCCGAAAGGUGAGCUAAUACCGGAUAUGACCACGGGAGUCUCGGCUCCUGCGGUGAAAGGUGGCCUCUGCUUGCAAGCUACCGCUCGGAGAUGAGCCUGCGGGCCAUUAGCUAGUUGGUGAGGUAACGGCUCACCAAGGCGAUGAUGGCUAGCUGGUCUGAGAGGAUGGCCAGCCACACUGGGACUGAAACACGGCCCAGACUCCUACGGGAGGCAGCAGUGGGGGAUAUUGCGCAAUGGGCGAAAGCCUGACGCAGCGACGCCGCGUGGGUGAUGAAGGCCUUCGGGUCGUAAAGCCCUGUCGAGGGGAACGAAACGGUCUCGACCUAAUACGUCGAGGCCCUGACGGUACCCCUAAAGGAAGCACCGGCUAACUCCGUGCCAGCAGCCGCGGUAAUACGGAGGGUGCAAGCGUUGUUCGGAAUCACUGGGCGUAAAGGGCGUGUAGGCGGUCCGCUAAGUCUGAUGUGAAAGCCCGGGGCUCACCCCCGGAAGGGCAUUGGAAACUGGCGGACUCGAGUCCCGGAGAGGAAGGUGGAAUUCCUGGUGUAGCGGUGAAAUGCGUAGAUAUCAGGAGGAAUACCGGUGGCGAAGGCGGCCUUCUGGACGGUGACUGACGCUGAGACGCGAAAGCGUGGGGAGCAAACAGGAUUAGAUACCCUGGUAGUCCACGCUGUAAACGAUGAGCACUAGGUGUCGUGGGUAUUGACCCCCGCGGUGCCGACGCUAACGCA